CCCUGGUGAAUGGCGGCCGUAACAAUAACGGUCCUAAGGUAGCGAAAUUCCUUGUCGGGUAAGUUCCGACCUGCACGAAUGGCGUAACGACGGCCACGCUGUCUCCACCCAAGGCUCAGUGAAAUUGAAAUUGCUGUGAAGAUGCAGUAUACCCGCGGCUAGACGGAAAGACCCCGUGAACCUUUACUACAGCUUUGCACUGGACUUUGACUAUACUUGUGUAGGAUAGGUGGGAGACUAUGAAGCUUUAACGCCAGUUAGAGUGGAGUCACCCUUGAAAUACCACCCUAUUAUAUUUGAAGUUCUAACCUAGGUCCUGAAACGGGAUUGGGAACAGUGCAUGGUGGGUAGUUUGACUGGGGCGGUCUCCUCCCAAAGAGUAACGGAGGAGCACGAAGGUAUCCUAGGUACGGUUGGAAAUCGUACUGUUAGUGUAAAGGCAUAAGGAUGCUUGACUGAGAGCGUGACGAUGCGAUCAGGAACGAAAGUUGGUCUUAGUGAUCCGGUGGUUCUGAAUGGAAGGGCCAUCGCUCAACGGAUAAAAGGUACUCCGGGGAUAACAGGCUUAUCGCCACCAAGAGUUCAUAUCGACGUGGCGGUUUGGCACCUCGAUGUCGGCUCAUCGCAUCCUGGGGCUGAAGAAGGUCCCAAGGGUUUGGCUGUUCGCCAAUUAAAGCGGUACGCGAGCUGGGUUCAAAACGUCGUGAGACAGUUUGGUCCCUAUCUGCUGUGGGCGUAGGAUACUUGAGAAGAGCUGCUUCUAGUACGAGAGGACCGAAGUGGACGGACCAAUGGUGUUCCGGUUGUCCUGCCAAGGGCAUCGCCGGGUAGCUAAGUUCGGAAAGGAUAAGCGUUGAAAGCAUCUAAACGCCAAGCCCCCUUCAAGAUAAAGUAUCCCUAUGAGAUGACCUGAAGACGACAGGGUUGAUAGGCUGGGUGUGGAAGCGUAGCAAUACGUUGAGCUAACCAGUACUAAUACAUCCAUCGGCUUCACCAA
This 997-nucleotide ribosomal RNA is filed under the name Xenoturbella bocki. Its description in RNAcentral is "bacterial LSU rRNA". It matches the Rfam family "Bacterial large subunit ribosomal RNA", at positions 1918 to 2925 of the family's 2925-position model. The record is from RNAcentral. Lineage: Eukaryota; Metazoa; Xenacoelomorpha; Xenoturbellidae.